CAUAAAAUGCUUGGCUAUAUAUUUUCAGGCAUGUCUGCCCCCAUUCAGUUCCGAACUGAGGCUGCCUACCAAGAUGGUCAGACCUUUCCCCAGGAACCAGAACUGCCCAUUGCAGAAAUUGUGCCUUUAGUGUCCGCUCCCAGCUUGAAGGACGUUCAGCAGACAAUGCAAGAAGUCUCAGAACAAGUGGAGGGCCGUGGAGCAGAAGAAGUGUUAAAAGAACUUCUUGAGAGGGUGGUAGAGGCAGCUCUGGGUCAGGUGGAAGCAGCUAUUCAAGCAAAAGAUAUAACUGUGGAAAAGGAAGGGGUAGAAGAAGAUGCUCAGGGAGAGAGUGAAGCUGAGGAAGAAUCUGAAACAUUGAAACCAUUCCAAGAGGGGACAAAUAUGACUCUUGAGAUAGGAGAUAAUGGUUUUGAGAAGAGUGAGGUAGAAGCAAGGGUGGAUACAUUUAUAAAUGUAGCUGGAGGGGGUAAAGAAGUUGUCAAGGAAGAAGGGGAAAAAGUAGCUGGAUCUGUUGAAGAGACGACAGACAGAGCAGCAGUGAGUUUGGAGGUUACUGGUGAGUCAUUAUUGGAAACUAUAUUAACUCAAGAGGAUGUGGAUGGAGAGGAGACAGAAGGGGAUUUAGAGGCAGGGAAGAAGGACAGCAAGGAGCAGGUUGUGUUGAUAGUUCUAAAGAAUGCCACUGAAAGAGAAACACAGGAUGGAGAGGAAACACCAGCUACUGUGGAGGUGGCAGUGGGCGUACAGCCAGAGCAGGAAAAAGAGGAAGAAUCUAAAGCUGGCCUUGGAGUGGCUGAUGAAGAACAGAUAGAGAAUAGCAGGAGAAAGGAAGCAGCUCUGCUUGUGAUAAGUCAAACAGACCACACAGAUGGAGAGAAAGCAUUACCUCAUCCUAAUGAUCAUGUAAUACAAAUAAAACCCGUCUUUGGAGAACCGAUAAAAGAGGAGAGAGCGGCCAGGAGAGAGGAGAACAUGGAUGGACUAGAAAAACCUGAUGACAAUGGCUUAGUGGAGAUAGAGAAGACAGAAAAGGCAGAAGCAGAAGCUACAGAUGUAAGGACAGUAACAAUAGAGGCAAAAUAUAGUGAGGUUAUAAUCAAGGAAGGAUCAGUGGCACUGGUGGUUGACGGAGGUGACAAUGCUGGAGAGGAGGAGCAAAUUGCUUUGGAGGAUUCAGAGGAUCAAGGUGAGAUAUGUGUAGCUGCCAUGAAGAAAUUUGUAAAAGUGGAAUCAAAGUCCAACAAGAAAUCUAAAAUCUUUAGACAUGUUUAAAACUGACCAAAGGUGUUUACUUUAAUUUGUAUUGCAUUUUUGCAUUGAUAUCUAGUAUAUUCAUAAUGUAAACAUGAAAGCCAUUUUUCAUUUUUCCUUCCACUUUGUAAUUAUGAGCUACUUUUUUUACACCAUCACAUAAAAGCUUGGGUAUGACCACUUUUACAAGACACUGUAGUUCCAUCCUAUUAGCAAAAUGUUUGCCUUUUGGCGUAAUGUUUUGUGUGUCAUAUUACACAUCUCUCGUUUAGCAGCACUGGUGAUCCCUGGUCCACAAUCUGAAGAGAGUAAUAAAGACUUCACAGAAAAGAGACCUGAAAACCAGCCCUCUACCCCAAACCCAUCAUUUGGUGCUGGUACAACUGAAGAUAAUACUCUCAUUGAAGUGAAAUCUAACCAUCAGAGCAGGACAAUCACCUCAAAUCCUGGAUUUUUGCCACACAACCAUGGCGGGAUCCAACCCACACUAGAUAAGUUUGAGAACAAUGUUUUUGCUGAAUAUCAUCAGGAAAAAGGAGAGAAAAAAAGUGGAAUCAGGGACGCAGUGGAAGUUACACCUGGAAAAACAGACAAGAUUGAGCAAGGCCUUGAGGCAUGGGAGACUGGGGCUAUUUUUACUGCAGUCUUCUUGGUUUUGGAGACUGUCGUCAUCAUUAUCUACGUCCUCAAAUGUCGGAAUAAGAAAAGCACACCAGCCGUGCAGCGGGCUUGUGAGGAAGCGUGUGUUGAACCAGAGACAGAGAUGGGAGGCGACUGCAGUGACGACACUCUGACAGAAGACAACGAAAACUCUCAAGAGAUAAUCAGACUCGACCCAUCUGAUGCGGCUUCAGCCUUGGCCAUAGAAAGGGAAAAGCAAAAAGAUGAAGAUGUAGUAGCCAUGUCAAACCGCUCACCAAGCUCCACAGAGAUGCUGCCCAAUCCAGGACCAGGAUCAGACUCUUUACAAGACAUCAGGACUUCCAUAUAAGACACCCAUCUCUUUUCUUUUGCUCUAACUGAAUAAAAACCAAAGAGCCAUUUUCUACCCAACUGCUUUCCAAACAGCGUAAAUCCAUCAUUUGGGUUCAACAAAUAAUCCAUCAUUAUAUUGAUUCCUGAUGUUGAUAACUGUAAUAUAUCUGUGUGCAUGGAAACUAAAGACAUUGUAACAAAUUUGGGUGAACAGAAAAACGAUGCUUUUAUGUGCCACAAUCUAAGUAUGUACAUGGAAGUUUGUACAUGCAAAAGAACGGUGACUGACAAAAUAUCCAGAAAAUAGGUUGAUAUCUAUAAUGUUUUGCUUUGAAUUACAAAUAAAUGUUUUUAAUACUGUAAUGUUAAAUGAUGCUACCAAAACAUAAAUGGUAUCUCACUAAGAUUAAAAAAAAUAACAUCUUCA
Xiphophorus hellerii (green swordtail) is the source of this 2656-nucleotide RNA transcript. RefSeq lists it as uncharacterized. NCBI's taxonomy places the organism in Eukaryota, Metazoa, Chordata, Actinopteri, Cyprinodontiformes, Poeciliidae. The transcript has 4 exons. The record is from RefSeq and is a predicted model, not a curated record.